GGGCGUUUAGCUCAGUGGUAGAGCGCCCGCUUUGCAUGCGGGAGGUCGAGGGUUCGAUCCCCUCAUCGUCCA
This 72-nucleotide transfer RNA is filed under the name Patellaria atrata CBS 101060. It matches the Rfam family "tRNA". Rfam says of the family: Transfer RNA (tRNA) molecules are approximately 80 nucleotides in length. Their secondary structure includes four short double-helical elements and three loops (D, anti-codon, and T loops). Further hydrogen bonds mediate the characteristic L-shaped molecular structure. tRNAs have two regions of fundamental functional importance: the anti-codon, which is responsible for specific mRNA codon recognition, and the 3' end, to which the tRNAs corresponding amino acid is attached (by aminoacyl-tRNA synthetases). tRNAs cope with the degeneracy of the genetic code in two manners: having more than one tRNA (with a specific anti-codon) for a particular amino acid; and 'wobble' base-pairing, i.e. permitting non-standard base-pairing at the 3rd anti-codon position. The record is from Rfam by way of RNAcentral. Lineage: Eukaryota; Fungi; Ascomycota; Dothideomycetes; Patellariales; Patellariaceae.